UUUGGUUUUGUACACCCGUUUCAAAUGGCUGAAAAUACAAUAUUUUGGGCAAUGGAAAAUAUAUUUCACAGCGGUUUAGAUGGUACAAUGAUUCUCUACAGUAUACUUGGUUGUUUUGUCACAUUAACUGAAAUAGGCGAUCUAUUAGAAUUUGUUUUACCAAUGGACACAAAACAGCUUAGUUUCAGUUUUUUUUAAGGAUGGUCCAGUCUCUAGCAGCGGGAGAAUUGAAAAUCAGUUUCACCAAAGAAACUGAGUGACGUGAGGAUUGCCAGGUGUGCAGCUAUCUCCUGUCGUUGCUGUGGGGAUCCAGCUGAUCUUAUCACCUGAACCGCGGCCCUCUUCUGUCACUGACAUGGGGGUCCGGACGUCUGCUGUUCUGAGAUCUUAGCCCGCCACUGCAGUAGAGAUCUAGCCAACCUUAGCUCCUGUCCUGGGUCCGCUCCUGUCGCUGAUGGGGCGGCCUCGCCGUCUUCACUCCAUAGGCCCUCUUCGAGCUCUGCUGCUGCGGCCAUGCGGUCUCCAGGCCUUCAUUGAGACCUGCGGCUGAUCCUCCGCCGCCUGCCAUGCUGAGACCUUCUGAUCCGGGGCCUUCACCUGGUCCCUCUGCCUGGGUCCGGUCUGUCCUUCAGCCACCGCCCGUUGCUGCUUCGUGGGUCCAGCCACCAAAGUAUCAUGACCCAGGGACCGAUCUCUGCCACUGCGGCCAUGAUGUCUCCAGUCCUGGUGUACCCAUCUGACACCACUAUGUAUCACAAACUGUUUAAACACACACACACACACACACACACACACACACACACACACACACACACACACACACACACACACAUAUAUAUAUAUAGCGUGAUUGAAAGAAAUCAUGUAUGUUCUUUCAACUAUGGUUGACUAUAUUACUUAUAUGACCUCAGCUUUCUACUCAUUAUUCCUUAUUAAUUAAACAAACAUGUAUGCUUCAAUUGAUUGAAAUAACUGGACACUGCAUCCUGUUGGUCUCCUGACUCCUGCUCCUUACCUGGGGAUCUUACAAGCCCUCAAUGCUAAGGGUCCUCCUGUUGGCUGUUCCUGGGCAGAGGGGGUGACUGCCACCGGAUCCACCACUGCUGGCUCCCCUCGUCCAGAACAGCCUUAAAGCCUCCACUGGCCCCCACCACGUCAAACACCCUGGUCUGGUGACCUCAAGUAACUUCAUGACAUGGUGGCCAGGUGCACCACGGGAUAGGUCUUCUGUUGGACCAGUUUCCCAUCUGGUCUAUGUCUCUGCCUCGCUGGAUGACCACAAGUAUUCAUGUCAUCCCUCUCAGUGACUGUCUGCCCUUGCUGCCAUUUGUUGUUGAUUUCAAAUCGGUACAACACAUCUGUUAAGACGGGCAGCUUCAGUCAGCUGUUCUAGCAUGCUCUACUGGUGUUUUUUAGUCAGGCAGCUCAGCCCCAUUCAGAAGGUCCUAAACUUAUUUUAGUUCCUAUUGGUCAAGGUCACAUAUCUUUGCUGUUCUGAUGAUUUUUUGUUCGUGCAGCUAAACAACCAUAGUCUGUUAGUUUCAAGAGUGGUCAGACCUGUGUGUGUGUGGAUACUUUCUGUCCAUUAAAACCCCUUAAACUGGAA
Non-coding RNA from Salmo salar (Atlantic salmon), 1606 nucleotides. The record is from RefSeq and is a predicted model, not a curated record. Lineage: Eukaryota; Metazoa; Chordata; Actinopteri; Salmoniformes; Salmonidae.